This 711-nucleotide long non-coding RNA is filed under the name Pongo abelii (Sumatran orangutan). RNAcentral describes it as "lincRNA". The record is from RNAcentral. Lineage: Eukaryota; Metazoa; Chordata; Mammalia; Primates; Hominidae.
CAGUAUCGAUGUUCCUUUUAAACAAGUAUUUGAGUAAAAGCAAUGUUUCCAAUGUGUGUCAGAAAGUGAAUACUUGCAUAUUUCUGCAUGGUUAGAGCUGAGCUUUCCAAGCAAAUUUUACUGGGACCCGGUUGAAAGACAGGUCUUGGAAGUGAAAUGAUGACUGACUAGAUGAAACUGCCAGACUGUCUUCCGAAGUGGCUAUAAUAUUUACACUCCCAUCAGCAGUGUUUAAAGGGGAGAUUGCUUUCAGUUUCUGAAUACCCAUGGAAGGACAUGGUUAUAUUAUGUCAUAUCAUUAUAUCUGACCCAGUUUCUAAGGAUCCAGUUGCUGAUAUAAAUCCAAGAGAUGGGGGUCUCACUACGUUGUCUGGAGUGCAGUGGCUAGAGUGGAGUGGCUAUUCACAGCUGAGUUUGCAGAGUAAACCACUACCCUGAAAUCUGGAGAGGCAGGUGCACCCAUAGAGUCUCAGCUGAGAUCCAAUUACCUGAAAUAGAAGCUGCCAUUAGGAACACUUAAAUGAGCCAGUUCUGCUGCGACACAGAAUCACUUGCUCCAUCUAAUACAUUGAUGAUGAUUAAUUUGUAUGUGUACCUUCCAAAAAAGAUGGUCGUGUUUGAACGGAGGCCUUCUGGACAGGAAAAUAUGGAGAGUGCAUGCUUUGGAUUCAAGACUGGGAAUGAGGGACCAGAAACCUGUUCUGUGGCUGU